This 23399-nucleotide long non-coding RNA is filed under the name Ananas comosus (pineapple). RNAcentral describes it as "long non-coding RNA (ACOM_LNC025612)". Lineage: Eukaryota; Viridiplantae; Streptophyta; Magnoliopsida; Poales; Bromeliaceae. The record is from RNAcentral.
AUAAUAUAAUUGAAGAUAAUAAUAUUAUUUAUAUUUAAAUAUAUUUAAUUAUUGUACUAAUUACUCUUUUGUUUAGUUUAUAUUUAAGGGAUUUAUUUUAUAGAUAGAUAGAUAGAUACUACACUGUACUUAUAGAUUUUUUAUACUUUUCAUAUUGUACUUUUUUUUUCUAAAAAUACUAUUCAACUGUCUUUUUUUAUUGUCCAUCCCUACACUAUAAAUAAUAAAUCUAUAACUUUGAGCGAAAACUAUUAAAAACUAUUAAUUAAAAGUUGCAGAGUAAUUAAUAUUCAACUUAUUUUCAAACAAAAAAUAUAUAAAAUAUAUAAAAUAAUAAAAGAAUAAUUAAAAAUAACUUUAUAGAAGAUUUGAGUGGAUCUAUCGUAAAUAUUUGUUCUAUAUUUUUUUCCUAUUUAGACGACACCUCCUAAUAAAGUUGUUAGAUUUUAUUUAAAAUAACAAAUUUAUUAACGGUUAUAUAGAGUUUGGUAAAAGAAUAAGUGAUAUUUAUGAGAAAAAAUACAAGAUAAAAAAUAAAUUUAAAAUACAAUAUAAAAAUUGGUAAAUAUAAUAAUACAAUAAUAUCGUUGAAAAAUAUUAAUAUAAUAUAUUAAAUAAAAAUAAUAUUAAAUUACAGUGCAAUGAGGCGUAAUUAAGCCUAGACUCUUUUUUACAUAGUUCUUGGGAACAAGGAUGAGAUUCAUUGAACUAAUUUGAUGUUAGUAAUAUAUAAAUUAAAUAAAUUAUAUAAAUAUAAAAUAUAUGUAUUUAAUAUAUUAUCGAGCUGAACACGAACAAACUGAUUCUAACUCGUGUUUGAGCUCAUAUAUUCUGCUUGUUUGUUAAGAAAUUUUCAUUCAGGGUUAAAGUGGGGUUAAAGUUUUUUUGUGUUUGGUUGGGGGUUGGAUUUAGUCCAGAAUAAUAAAAAAUAGUGUUUGGUUGGGUAGGUGGGAUAAGAAGAUAAUGAUUGAUAAAGAAGAAUAAUGAUUGGUUGGAGUAGGUGUGAUAAGAAAGAUAAUGGGUUAUUAUGAAUAAAAAAUAGUGUUUGUUUGGAGUUUGGUGGGGUUAGGUGGGGUUAGCUAACCCGAAAUAAUUUAUUUGAGGUCGGAUUAGGUGGGAUUAGGUAAUCCCACCUAUUUUUUAAGGUGUUUGGGAAUAAAAUGGGGGUUAAGGGGUUAUUCCACCCUUUAACCCCCAACUAAACCAGGGCUAAGAAAUUUUCAUUCUGUUCGCCUAGUGCACAAAACGAGCUUAUUUCGAGCCGAAGAAGCAGUGGCUCGCCGUCAGCUUGAUUGCCACCCUAUCCGCCAUCUUCCGUCCGCCCGCUCACUCUCUCUCCUCAUCUGUCCCCAUAACUCGGAGAAAGAAAGAGAGAAGAGAGAGAGUGAGGAAGGAGAUGAGGCGACGGGCGGCGGCGGCGGCGCUUCCUCUCGCCCUCGCGAUUGCGGCGGCGGCGGCGAUCCCGACGNAAAGAAAGAGAGAAGAGAGAGAGUGAGGAAGGAGAUGAGGCGACGGGCGGCGGCGGCGGCGCUUCCUCUCGCCCUCGCGAUUGCGGCGGCGGCGGCGGUCCCUUCGAGCCGGUGACGUCGCCGAUCGACGGCUCCGGGUUCCGCGGCCUCGCCGUCGACCUGCCGGAUUCGGACCCCAGAAUUCGCCGCCGGGCGCGCGGGUUCGAGCCCGAGCAGAUAUCCGUCUCCCUCUCCGCGUCCCCAGAUUCCGUCUGGAUCUCUUGGGUCACCGGUCAAAUCUAAUCUCUUCCCACAUACCCCCCUCCUCCUAAGUAGGUUUCCUUGUGAAAUUGAUUGUAGUGAGAAGGGGCAAAUGCAUGGAACUUUUGAUAUUUGUCCUGCACAGAUUGUGUCGUCAUGUAGUGUUUGACUGAAUACUUCUCAGGUGAUUAGAUGGAUUGAACACUAAAUUGGUCGACAAGGAGCAUUUGCAUAAUAAUUAGUUCGUUAGUGUCCCUUUCACCUGAGCCGAACCAAACCUGCUCUUUAUUAUCAUCGGACGACAACGAGUUAUUUGCAUGUAAAAGUACAUGGUUUAAACAUAGGUUAUGCACUACGAUUUCAAGGUAAAUUUUACAGGUUUUUUCUUUCUUUGGAAAGCUAUUUAUCGUUUUAGAAUACUCAUAGAAACUCAUUCGUACCCGAGCCCUUCAUGAUUUCAUGGAUAAUAAUACUGUAGGCUCACAAGAUAGUUGUAAAGUUGUUUUUACAGGGAAUGCAUUCUCCACAUUUUGCAUGAAAUAAUCUUUUGCGACUCAGAAUUUAAUUAGUUCCCUAUUGUUUUUACUAACUUUUUGCUUGUCAUACAUUUUCUGCAUUUUCAGGGGACUUCCAAAUCGGAGAAGGCAUAAAGCCGUUGGACCCGACGGCUGUAGCAAGUAUCGUGCGUUAUGGAACAAUAAGGAAUCCUUUGAUUCAUAAGGCUGUGGGUUAUUCGCUUGUCUACAACCAACUCUAUCCAUUUGAAGGCCUUCAAAACUACAGUUCUGGAAUAAUCCAUCACGUACGUCUCACAGGUAUGUUGUCCGCAUAAUACAUUUUGACUUUUACAUUGCGAUGCUUGUUUGGAGUUGCUCUAAUAUAUUUAUGUGGAAUCUAUUUUGUUUAAUGUGUUACAAUAUUGCCCAAUGGUUCAAUAAGAUUUUUUGGAAGAUACUACAGUUCUAAAUACCAGUAGGCGAUAUUUCUAGCAAAAGGUAUAUUUUUUUUCCUUUUAAUCGUUAUAGGCUUCACUUAAUGAAUGCCGUGAGGCUCAUGGCUGAGGCUAUAUUAUGUGAAACAAGUGUUGUGCAAGUUGCAUCAAUUUCAAUGUAUUGCUACAGAUGUUAGAAUCAUAUGAUAACGUCCAGGUUAUCUUUUAGCAUGUGGGGAAAAGGGAUACAAUUCUUCUAUGCUUGUAUAAAUAACAUAGCUUCAGAUAUGAAAGUUAAGUGUAGUGAUUUCUCUUAGACACAAUAUCUUUUUGAGAGUAUAUUUUGGUUAUACAAUGUCAGUCUCUGCCAAGGAUGUUGUCAUCUUUUGUAUUUUCAAUGAGACUCAUCACUCUGCCUCUUCUCCAUUUACUGAUUGGAUGAUUUUCAAGUGAUUCUUAAGGCUGAAUAUCAUUCCUAAGGGAAAAACAAGUUAUCUUGGUCGCAAUUGCAGUAGAGGUGUAUGCAGGCUCAGGAAACGAAGAGAACAUUUUCUCUUUUAACCUUUCCUUUUAACAUGCCUUUUCUUUUCUGCAGGGCUUAAACCUGGCACGCUGUACCAUUAUCGAUGUGGUGAUCCUUCUAUACCGGCCAUGAGUGAUCUCCAUUCUUUUAGAACAAUGCCAGCUAUAGGCCCCGAAGCUUACCCUAAACGGAUUGCUGUGGUUGGAGAUCUAGGCCUCACGUACAAUACUACAUCAACAAUUGACCAUAUGAGAAGUAACAAGCCUGAUCUUGUUUUCUUGAUCGGUGACGUAUCUUAUGCAGAUUUAUAUUUGACAAAUGGAACCGGCUCAGACUGCUACCAUUGUAGUUUUAACAAUACUCCAAUACAUGAAACCUAUCAACCUCGGUGGGACUAUUGGGGAAGGUUAGCAUUUGUUUAGACUAAUCACAAGUCUGGUCCCCGAAGCUUGAUGCAAUUUCAAUAUCAUCGUCUGUUUCAUUUCUAUCAAUUUUAAUUCUUGAAGUUUGUUAUGCACAACAAUUUAGCCGCUUUUUGUCUGGUAGCUAAAAGGCGACUCAUAGGUACCACACAAUUAAAUUGGAACUCUGAGGAUGAAAUUGCAACUGAAGUCACAUUUUAAGAUUUUAACUUUUAACUGCAGGUUGAGCUUUAGCGCUAAAAUUGAAACUCUGUGGAUGAAAAAUCGAUAAUGGGUCAAACUUUUGGGACUAAAUUGUUACAAUUGAAGCUGUGAGGACGAAGCCUGGGUUAAACUUCAUGAGCUGAUUUUGAAAUUGAUCCGAGUUAUUUGCUAAAUAUGUUAUUUCCUUCUGACAGGACAGGACUGUGGAUGAAUUUCUCUCUGUUAUUUUUCUGCUUUUGGUGAUCUCGACACAUUACCUCAUGCGUAUUGUUUCGUGCUUCAAUAUCGGAGAAAAAUACUUGACCUUUUCUUUUCAGGUUCAUGGAGCCUCUUCUAUCGGAAGUCCCAAUAAUGGUGGUGGAAGGAAACCAUGAGAUUGAAGCACAAGUUGAGGGCAAGACAUUUGAAGCGUACAGAUCUAGAUUUGCAUUUCCGUCUAAUGAGAGUAGAUCAUUUUCUACAUUUUAUUACUCUUUCAAUGCUGGGGGAAUACAUUUUAUAAUGCUUGGCGCGUAUAUUUCCUUCAAUCGCUCAGGUGACAUGCUUAAGAAUUUUGUUAGUUUCUUUCCUGUUUAAAAAAUAAGAUGCUAGAUUGCUAGCUAUUCAGUUACAAAAGUUUUUUUUUUUUUUUCCUGAACUAGUUGUGUAGUGAGUGUGAGGAAUUGUUUCUGAAAGGACUAACAUAGUUGGUAAAGCCUUUUAUGGCUGGAGCUGCAUCCUUUAUUCAUCAAGCUUUCAUUAUGUAGUAUGUAUUGAAAAAAAAUCUACUCUUUUGAUUUCACAACUCCACUGCUUUUGCAACUCUUUUAUUUCUUUCUUUAUUUAUUUUAAUAAUGCCAGCACAUUGGUCAUGCGCAAAUUUUGGUUGCUGAUGACCAAGACUUCCAUUUCGUUUACCAUAGUCUUUUAUCUCUUCAGGUGAGCAGUAUAAAUGGCUGGAAAGAGACUUGGCAAAUGUAGACAGAAGUGUGACACCCUGGUUGAUAGCCACUUGGCAUCCACCUUGGUAUAGCACAUACAAAUCUCAUUAUAAGGAAGCGGAGUGUAUGAGGCUGGAGAUGGAAGAGCUUCUCUAUUCGUAUGGCGUUGACAUCAUUUUCAAUGGUCAUGUAAGUUCCCAGCCCUGUACUUGUUCCCAUUUGAUUAUUUUUGCUCUCGCAAACUUGAACAUGGUAUUUUUUAGUAGUUUUCGGAACAUUUGUCAUUGCUGAAGCAUAUUUCACUAAAUUAAUUUUUUUUUAAAAAUACUUUUACAUUUACUCCUGCAGGGUUAUCUAGUUACAUAUAUAUCCCUGGGCGGCAUCGAGCAAAAUUGAAACGUACUUUUACAUUUACUCCUGCAGGGUUAUCUAGUUACAUAUAUAUCCCUGGGACAUCUUAAUUUGCAUAUAUGACAUUUUACAAGGUACAUGUCUAAUAGACAUACCUUUGAACUUACAAAUUUCAAUGUUUAGAAAACCUUUAUAAGGAUAUAUAAUUUUAAGAAGCCCAAAUUUUGAGGGGUAUAUAUGAAAAUUCUGGUUCUACCAGGGUUUCGAUGGAUUUUGUUUAGAAAAUAUAUGUAGAAGAUCUUAGCUUACCGUCACAAUAUUUUCCAGUUAAGUUGGCAACCUUAUUCUUCCCCGUGAAGAGCUUGAUAACAAUUUAGAGAUCAAAUCAUUAUACUAAUCUAAUGCUAUUUGAUGACGCUUUUUAUGUGGCUAUUGAGAAAUGUACUUUGAACCAACUUUUUCUUGACUCUAGCUUGAACCGACUUCUUACAAAUGUUCUCCGAAUAGAUCUUUUCCCCCAAAAUGGAAUGAACGCAACGAAAUUUUUGUUUACUGUAACAAUUCAUCGAUUGAUGUUGCUAUCCCUGAACGUCAGGUACAUGCCUAUGAGAGAUCUAAUCGAGUUUACAACUACGAAUUGGAUCCUUGUGCCCCAAUCUAUAUAACUGUUGGCGACGGGGGUAAUAGGGAAAAUGUGGCGACUUCUCAUGCAGAUGACCCCGGCAACUGCCCCAACCCCUUAAGCACUUAUGAUAAGCACUUGGGUGGCAGCUUCUGUGCUACCAACUUCACCACGGGCCCUGCUGCAGGAAAAUUUUGCUGGGACCGUCAGCCUGAUUACAGCGCAUACAGAGAGAGCAGCUUCGGUCAUGGAAUCUUAGAGGCAAGUCCUUUUUCAGGUUCUCACAAAAGCCAAUUCUCACCACUCCUUUUCUCUGUAUGAUUGUUUGAUGAUUUCCCAGGUGAAAAAUGAAACUCAUGCAUUGUGGACAUGGCAUCGGAAUCAGGACAUGUACAACAGCGCGGGAGAUGAGAUUUAUAUCGUCCGGCAGCCCAACAAGUGCCCUGUGAGAUACGUGCUGCCCCAGUUUAAAUCCAAGAAUGUCUUGCCCAAUGACUUAUUCAGAAUAUGAAGGAACAUACUCCAGAUUGAUACUUGAGAUUAUACAGUGAAACAUAGUAGUUUAUAGGCAAUGUCCGCAUACCGAAAGAACAGUGUGAAACUUACUAAAGAAGAAUUCUUUAUCGCUAUGUGUUAUCCCCUGUUUGGUUUGGAAUGGUACAGAUUAGUUGAGAUACAUCCGAGAGAGGGAGAGAGAUUUUCUUCAUGGGGUAACUAUUAGGGAUGUUUGCUUUCUUGCAAAAGCGGGGAAACUGUAUCCAGAAAGAAUCUUUUUCAUGAAAAACAUUCUUUUCUACAGUCGUUUUUUCAGUAAAAAAUUUGGAAAAUAAAAAUACUAUUUUUUUAAUAGAAUUUGGAAAUAAGUUUUUUAAAAAUUAUUUUUCUAAGGCACCAAACGUACGAAAAAUAUUUUUUCAGCAAAAGAAAAACUAUUUUCUCCGAUAUUUUUCAAAAAACCAUACACCCACUUAAGCUUUUGGGCUUGUUUGGUAGUAGAGGCUCACAAAUCCGGACUAAGAAUGGCCUGAGAGAUAAAGAAAUAUUUCCUCACAAGAAUUCAUAAAAUUGUUAAGCCCUUUUUUUUUUUUUUUUUUUUUUUUGAAAGUAAGAAAGAUGAAGCCUGCAGUUACAAAUCUAUACCUAUCUAUAUCUUCUUCUUCUAUACAUUAUUUAUUAUAAACUUUGCCACGUGGCAAAGCCUCCUUCAUCCUUGCCUUAUUCCUCAUUCCUAAUGAUUGAAUUUAUUAUCUUUUAUCUCCGCGCGACGUUUGGUCUUUCCACAUGUCCAUUUCUUAAUUAAUAUAUUCACAUUCAUUAUCAUCUAAACAAAUCAAUUUUAUAGAAGAAACAAAUAAAAUAAAAUAUGUGGCGAAUGAGAAGUGGGGAUCAGGAUUCGCCUUCCCGAUAUCGACAGCGCAAUUAAGGUGUAUGUGGAGUAGUGUUCUAUUGCUGUUUUUUAUUAUUAUUAUAUGUAAUUUAUUUGCUAAAAUUAUAAAUUUUACUAUAUCUGGUUCAUAUGUUCUAUUUGUAUUUAUUCCCUUGAUUUUUUAUGACAAGUCAAAAAAUUUUAAAAUAUUUUUUAUUUUAUCAAUCUUUUGUCUCUUAUAGUAUCAGCCCGCCGCAAUACGCGGGUAACUUCACUAUUAACAUAAUGGAUGAAGAUACAAAAAUAUAGAAAUCAGGAACUGAAGCUAAGCAAAUCCUACAAGCCCCAUCCAAACAAAUUAAAUAGGCAAAAUUACACUAACAGAAAACAACAGAAGAUAGAUAACUGCAAUAGUACAGUCGAUGAAGCUGCAAUCAUUCUUUGUGAUGAUCCAAGCCUAUUAGUAGUGGCCAAAUAUAAACUGUUUCCAGAAAAAACCCGACUAUCGGACCAGCUGGAAUACACACAAGAGAGAAGAGAGUGAGCUUCGCUGCGACAAAAAUCUAACAGGCAGACAAAAAAGAAGCUUCUGACAACAUGCUCAGUAAUGUCAUCUCUCAGAAGCCGCUCGCAUAUCCAUUUGAAACGGAAGGCUUAGAUUGACCAAAAAUAUGAACACUUUUCUUCACUAAUUUGUUACAGUAAUCAAUCGGGCAACUGUUUUCGGCGGUUCGUGUGUUUCAGUUUAAUCUUUUUGUUUGACACUGUCUGUCAAGUAAAAUUAAGGGAAGUACAUUCUGCAUGAUUUGCAGAGUGUCCAUUUUAAGCAACUUUACCUUCUUCACUUUGUCAAACAGAUGAAUACCAAAAAUAGUAGUUAUUCGGAAUUUAAACAUAGUGAUUUCAUACGAGAUUAAGGAGCAAGAAGAGGAUAGAAACAGACAAAAGCUACAAAGGAACAUGCCAUUCCAACACAUCACUGGUGAUUAACAGAUUCAAAUAAAAGAAUUUAUAGACUCUGUCAGGCAGAAAUGAAAUUUGAAUCAUCACAGAGAAUUAUUAUAUCUUGAAAGCCGCACGUCACUCAAAUACAACACGGUUAGGUGGAGUUUAGAGGACAAAAAGAAAAAUGCAAAAAUAAAUCUCGUCCUAACAGAGGAUCCAGUACAAAGAGGAUGUUCCUAGGGAAAAUCUUCAACAAAAAUGCCUGAUACUUCUCAUGCAACAUAAAAUCAAUUGCAGAAUAAAAUGCAGGAGCAAGAGAUUUGGGCUAAUAAUCAGCUGAAAAAGACGGACUUAACGAUUCAGCCUUUUGUUCUCAGUAUAGUAAUGCAGCCUUUUCCUCCUUCGGUGCGAAUUUGAGUUUUCUCAACUACUGGCUUCCCAGAGAAAGCCGAAGUGAGGUAAGGAGGCUCAUCGUCCUUCUUGCUGUUAGAUUUUGAUGGUGGCGGAGAAUGGAUGAGAUGAUUUAUAUCCUUCAAUGUGAGAUCACCUUGUUCUCCACAUGAUUUGAUGAGGUUAAAUGGAUAGACAAUGGAAGUGGUUAACUUCUUUUGUGUCUUAAUGAAGGAUUUCUUGCCUGAUUUCAUGUAAAAACUAACUAUUAAUUCUUGCAAAAGAAGGGGAAAAAGAACGAAUCGUUUCAAAUGAGGGACGCAUUCAUGCUAGCUUUGAAACAUACCUUUGAAAAUUUUAAGAUUGGCGAGAUUGGUGGUCUGUUUUGCGACAUCAUUUUUGAUAGUAGGUGCUACAUCACAGAAUUCUGUUCAACGAGAUAAAGUAAAUGAAAAUGAAAUAAAAAGUUGCGAAUUCUCGGGCCUCAUUUCGUAAUGUCAUCAUUUUCUUUGUGUUUUUUUUCAAUUUUUUUCAAAUAUAAAUUCUUUGCAAUGGAGUGUCCAGGUGGAUGGCAAAGUGCUCUCAAUCUAUAUAUCUGUGAUACUUUUUAAGUGCGUAUUAGAUGGAAAAUUUGGCCUCAAUCUAUUUCUAAGCAAUACAAAAAAAAUAAAGAAAAAAGAAAAAAGAAGAACACUCCAAAAAGUUCAUUUUUCAUACAGUUGUCUGCUGCGUUUUGGAAGGAUAACUCACACCCAAAAAGAAAUCUAUUGAUUUCUCCUAAUGUAAGAAUCAAACACAUGGAACCAAAAAUCUUAAGUCUACUGAUUAGAGCCCACUAAUAUAUACCAAUUUCUAUUCAAUAUUUAUUCUAUACGGGACUAUUCCUCACAUGCGAACACCAGACACCAAGAAUUUCAUGAAGCUAAAAGCAUGAGUUUUAAACUAAAGCUUCUGCUUCAGUUUGGUGAGCCCAAAGCUCAUUUUGGCUUUCUGCUCCAACUGAAAGGUCUAAACUUUUGCUUCUCAAGUACAGGACCUUCCAUGAGCUCGAAAUUAAAACAUGCAUGUAAAUGAAAUAUGGACAAUAUUUUGAAGCCAUUAAAACACCCGAAUUUCAGCUGGCAAUCAGAGUUUACAUUCACAUUCUAGCUAGACCUACCAUGACAACUAAAUCUAUCAAUACUGACAAAGAAAAAAAAAAAUGGAAGAAAGGAAAUCUAUAAUUGCUAAUUGAAGCUUGGUAACACUGACAUUUCAUCAGGACUGGGAAACAAACCUCGAGAACCUGAGCUCUCUUGAGUAUUCUGUUGCAACCUUUCUUCUGAGCUAUAUCCAGACACGGAACUCUCUGUCACCUUAAAACAGGGAAGCCGAGACAUGAAAGUAGAGAUCUUAAAUUACGAAUAAGACCAAAAUUAGAGAAGCAAUUGGUGGUGGUUCAGGGAUCUAGUACCUUACUAGUUACAUUAAUACAAGUGAUUUGCGCAUUUUCAUUUCCUUCUCUCUCGUAAUCAUCAGAAUCGAAUUGCAGCACACGUCGCCUUUUAACCAGUGACAACUUUUCGCACUCCACUUCUUUUCUGGAACUACCUAUGCAUUCAAUUGUCCCUUAAUAUUGAGUAAGAAGUCAAUAGAAAGAAGAAACUAGGGUGAAAGGAGAAAUAAGUUACUUUCUACACCUGAUAUAUCGUAGCUAACAUCUCGACACUCUCUGAUUGGAGUUUGAUCUCCCAGCAAGUAUAACAAACUGUCAUCUUCUUGGUUCAUGCCAUCCCAAAAGGAGAAUAGAACAUCUGUACAUUUAAAAGAAUGAGUAUAAAAGCAACCUAGCAAAAGAAAUUCCUGAAUAUGAGAGAGGUAUCUAACCAUCUGCUGGAUCUCUUGACCCAUAAAGAUCUUCUUCUCCUUGGCAUUCCCACAUAUAGCUUAUAUGCAUUAGACAAACCAGAUUAUGAAUCAGUAUUUUGCUCUCCUCCAUGAAGCAAAUGAUGACAACAUUACAACCAGAAAACUGAAAAAAAGAGGAAAAUAUAGGGGGGGAAAAAAUGUUUUCCAAACUGUUAAAAGUUGCCACAUUAUGCUGAUAAAUUUCAGCCAGAACCACAUUGAUUUUGCAUGUAAUUAUUCAGCAUAAUCUUGAUAAAGACCAACUAUCAAACAGGAAACUGAUCCAAAAGUGCAAAAAGAUAGUUCAAUAAAAUUUGGGCACUAACAGAUUCAGAUAGUUUAAAUAACUAUCUGAAGGUAAAUUAGUCCACUUGUUUAUAAAUGAAAGUUUGUUCAGAAUCUUCUACAUAUUGGUAUUUCAAAAGACUGAUCAGUUAGUCACAAGGAGAUACUUGAAAAUCAAUUGAAAUGCAGGAAAAAGUGAUAAGAAAUACAAAGCAUACUAUAACCACAUAAUAAAUCUAAACCCCAGUGCAAACCUGGAAAGAUAGAUCCCCAAAUGGCAAAGUUAGAUGGUGUGAGAAAGAGAAACAAGAUCACUCACAUAUUAUUGUUGUUGUGAUUGUUGCCAUUAUUGUUGUCAUGAAAUUCCAUUUAACUAAGAGAAGGGUGAGAGCCAAAUUAAACAAGAGGAAAUGGGAAAAGAAAAAAGAAAAAGAAGAAAAGAGCCAAUAGCCGUUAGAGAGGAGGAUGGAGCUUCAUUUCCUCACUUCUCCCAGAUGGAGAACCUCUCAUUCUUAUACAGAUUAAAAAUAAUAAUAAUAAUAAUACAGUAAGAUGAAAGAAGGGAAGGUGUGGGAUUUUGUAUUUAUCUACUCUCUAAUGGCUUUCCAAACAUGGCUAUAGAUUCAGUUAAUUGAGUACCACUACCUCACACAUUAUAAGUUGAUGAGAAUAAAAUUUAGACAAAAAAAUUUGGGAUAAUUUCAUCAAUACCCCUCUAGGAGACAGUAAUUUCAUAAAUACCCCUCUAAAUUAGAAAAUAUCAAGAAUACCCCUCUAAAAAGCAACAAUAUUCACAAAUACCCUUAAAACUAACAUUCCGUUAAAAAUGUCAUCUAAAAUUCUAUAAAUACCAAUUUUACCCUUAUUACUAAUUUAACUAAGUGUAAUAAUUUAAGAUUAAUUAUAUGAUUAAUUCUUAACCUUUCAAUCACAUAAUAAUUCAACAUUCUCUUUAAAAUUUUACAAUUAAAGAUCUACAGUCUAUUAAGUGUAAUAAUUAAAUCUUGUUAUGAUUUUCGCUUUUAAAUUAUAUAAUAGUUGUAAUGCAAUUAUCCAUUGUAGUAUUUAACAUUAAUUUUUUCAAGAUUUUUUUUUGAAUUUUAUUUAAAUAACUCACAGUUUUCUAAUUAAACAUUUAUUGUCAACAAAAAAAGUAACAUUGUAUGAAGACCCUCUCACCUAUUAGUCCACUUCAGCAUGAUCUUAACUUUAAAUUAUAUAUAUAUAUAUAUAUAUAUAUAUAUAAAAGUAGGGCUACAAUACUUUUAUAAGUAUAGAGCCCUAUGUACUCAUAAGUUUUUUCGAUAAUGGAGCUUCCGAAUCGACGAUCUACUAUGUUAAAUAUGAUCUAGAGUGUUUGCAAUUUUUAAAAAAUAAAUUUUGUAAUUUUUCGAAAUCAUAAUAACGUCUAUCAAGUGGGCAUAAAAUGAGCUGUCAAAAUCUCUAUAUUGAUCUUUAUCUAAAUAGUAAAUAAAAUUUUUUAUCAAAAAUUCAAUUGAUUCCGAAUUUUUUUCACCAUAAACUAGCAAGUAUCCCAUACCGACCAUUAAAAAUUGUCAAUUUUGAGAUCUAUUGAUCGUAAUGAUAUAAAAAAAUUAUAAAAUUUGAUUUCUUGAAGUUUUUAAAUAUUCUAGAUAAUAUUUAACGUUAUGGAUCGUCGAUUCGAAAGCUUUAUUAUUGAAAACGACUUAUGAGUAGGAAGGCAAUCACACUCAUAAGAGUAUAGUAGCCUGACUCUCUCUCUCUCUAUAUAUAUAUACAUCCUCUCAACUGUAGUGAUUCUUUACUUUUGCAAUUAAGUGUUUUUUUUUUUUCCAACUAAGUUAAAAAUUUUAUCAAAUUCAUGUAUGAGUGAUCUCAAUUGAAAAACUUUUAACUAAGUAAAACGCAAAAACAAAAAAAAACAAAAAGUUAAAGGGUUCUCUAAAUGUUAAAAAAUUGAAGUUAAGGAGGUAUAUUUCAAAAUGACCUAUAGGUGAGGGGCUUCCACUUAUUUUAUCCAUCAAUAAUUAGUGUUAGAAAUUAGAAGGGUAUUCAUGAAAUUACUCCUGUAUUAUUUGUUAUCAAAAGAACAACCCAAACAAUUUUUAAGGGGUAAAUUAGUCAUUUUAUAACUUUAUCCUAACGUCAGUUAGAAUGAGGGUAAUUGUGAUAAUUUUCUACAUUUGAAGGGGUAUAUAUGAAAAUUUUAAUUUUAUAGGGGUAUUUGUGAUAUUUACAUGUUUAAGAGGGCUAGUGAUGAAAUUGCCCCAAAAAAUUUAUAUCUGUACAUUAUUCUUUCUAAGUUUGUCAUAUACUAACGUUCUCUUCAUUAUUGGUGUGGGCUCCACUAAAGUUCUCCACAUAUUUUGAUUUUUUUUUUUUUUAACCGAAUCAAAAUUUUCUUUUUCUUUACUUGAACCGAACCAAUCAUUGUUGAGUGUGUGCUCCUCCAAUUAAACUGGCUCUAAGUCUUCUACAUAUUUUUCUCUUUCUUUGUUUGAACUGAACCGGAUCACAUCUCUGUAUUGGCCCGAACUGUUAUUCUUCUACUUCCUUCGGCUGUUACCUUCUUUCAUCGAUAAGAUGAAUUUUAUUUUUUAUCGUUGUUUCUUCCAUCGCUAUUUUCUUUUAUUUUAUCACCACUUCUUCUUUUUUUUUUUUCUAAUUAUCUACCGGUCGUAUUGCAAUUAUUGCUACCCUAGUUAUAACAUUAUAGGAUUUAUAUAUAUUAUGAGUUAGACUGGAGCCUUGAGUUGGUGGGCUGGAUUCAUACUGCUAGAUUUUAUUGGCAUGUAUUCCUAAAAGUGGCAUAGCAUUAUAUUCAUCAUCUAUACUAUUAUAGUUGAUGAUUAUUUAUGCUUUCAUUUUUUUUUUCCCUUACUUUAAUUCUUCAUCGUGUGACUACGCAGUCGUUAUUUCAUUGCACCGCUAAGGUCUUAUUGGAAAACAUAUUACGCAGGCACUGCGAUCCAUUGAUCUAACACAAUAGAUUCGAUCAAGACAUGAAAUUUCUCAUUUGGCAAAGUUGGGAUUCUCAAUCUUGUAAUCACGAAUGAGACAUUUAUAGCAUAAUAGUAGCAGUAAACCUUGAUUUAAGUGAAGCAUCUUUUGACAUGUUUUCAGUAUCUUGCAUUAUGCCAAAAAAACUAGCUCUAAAUGUUAACUAUUUAUUGUCUAUGUUUACCAAAAAAUUCAAAUCCAUGUAUUUCUUUUUUUCUUUUGCAAUAUAAUAUUAUAAAAAGAGUUAGAGUUUGAGGUUCGGUAAGGUAUAUGUCUUAGCCUUUUAUCACCAAGGAUUUUGGUGUUCUAGCUUUGUCAUUUUUUCAUUCUAUGUAUAAACUACGAACUCACGUGAUUUCCAUUUUCACUGCAAACUAUAUAAGUCUUUCCCUUCUUCCAAAAUUUUAAAAUUUUUUGUAGCUAUUAAUUAAUUAGCAGUUCAUUCUCUCGGUUUAAUUUGCUAAAAAGUAAUUUACAUAAUCAAAUUUGAUAAAAUUAUGGUUUAAUUUGAUAAAGUUUCAAAUUUAUUUGAUUAAAAUCAUCCAAUUCUAAAAAUCCAUAAAAUAAGAGGUCUGAAAUGACAAGAAAGGUUGAGAGAGCUAUCUAAGAAUGUAUGUAGAGGGAUUUUCUAAAUAAGGAUUUAAGUGCCGUGACAUGUACGGAAUCGUACAAAAAACUACUGCAUACACGAUACGGCAUGGUGCGUGAGGGACUGUGCCGAUGCAUGCCGUUCAUAAAAAAUAUAUAUAUUUUGACAUAUAAUGAUAUGAAAUAUUUAUUUUUUUAGUAAUAGAAUAUUCUAAUUACUUGUUAUAUAUAUAUUUAUCAAAAUUUUUAAAUUUUAUUAAAAAAAUUACUUACUAGUUAUAUAAAAAAAAAAGAGCUUUGAACUAUGUCAUUGGCACGGGUUGUAUUGUGCCGAUAUCUUAUUGGUAUGAUACAUCACGAAAAAUAUACUCCAUACGGAUGAUAUAUAUUUAAAUCGUUGCUUGUGUGUACUCCCUCAAAAUUUACAAUUUUUGUACAUAUCUUUAAAAAAUGAUAUUUGUACGUAGAUCUCUUGCUUGUACGUUUUCAUUUUUGCACUUUUCAGACUCAAAAAAGAGUUUACUCUGAGCGCAUCAUACUUAACAUACUCUUAAACAUAAGGUCUUGAAGCAAAGAUAGAUUUUAACAUACACAUAAAUAUGCGUCAUUUCUGCAGAUAUACGCAAAAAAAAAAAAAUGAAAAAAAAAAUAGAGAUAGAAAGAGAGAAUACAACUCAACUUAAGACCAAUUUUGUUCCAACAAAACCACACCAAAUUAAACAGCAAAGUUCAGUUUCAACCAAACACAGACACAACUAUCCAAUGAGCCAAAACAUGAUGGGAGCAAAACUUCAAGACUCUCCUCUCACUAGCAACUUACCAAACAACACACAUUCUAUAACCACUCAAAAUAAAAAAAAAAAAAAAAUGCUCCCCACACAUUUUAUUUUCAGAUAAUUAACUUAGUAGAUCAACAAUCGACAGCUAUAAAGUCCAAAAAGCUCAAAACUAGAGAAUGAGAUUGUAAAACCCAAACGCGAAAUCUAGAAAAAUUUCUAAACUAACUACGUCGAAACCUUGUAAAGCACUUACAAAGAGUAUGAUUUUUCGCAAUCUUUGUUAAGCAAAUCAUAUCUUUGCUAGUUUCUGUGCAAGGUUCCGAUGUAGUUGGUUUAAAAGCCUCUCCAGAUCACGCAAUUAGGCAUACACGGUUUUGGUCAUCUUACGAACUCUAGUUCUAAUUUUUUUUGACUUUUAUAGCGGUUAACGGUUGAUCUAAUAAGUUACACAUUUUGCAAUCCUCCGCCGGUCUGGUGGAGCAUAGCAUCGAUCUCAUCGCCGUCCUCCAUGUCCAGCUGGAAAGAAUAAAAUGGAAAUUGUAAGCUAUCAAAAUUUGGUGGCAACUACGUAAAUCUUUUUUUUUUUUUGGCGUUCUUACUUCAGUAGGGGUCUGCUGUCCACGAAGGCGGCGGCCCUCGUACAGAAAGACGACCGUGUUGACGUCGAGUGACUGCCUGUUGCAGUAGGCUGUCAUCAACUUCUGGAGCUGCGAAGCGCGCUUGAUCCUGAAACAGACUUCGAUACCAUCCUGUGUACAACAAAAAAAAAAAAAAGCUUGAUCUUCGAAACCUUAGAAUGAUCAAACUGCGUUCGAAAAAGCUAUAUAUAUAUAUACACACCUGUCCCCUAACUUUCAGAUUGAUCUGGUUCGCCGGUUUCUUGUCGCCAUCGUCAAUGCUGGACAUUCCGACGCUGUUCGACUCUUCGUCCUCCAUUCUCGACAUUCCUUCUACCUCUCUUCGAAAAAUCUAAACUCUUUGAGAUAGUAUUUCAAAGAUAUUCUCACUCUCUUUGCACGCUCUUCUCUCCCCAUGGGGUAGGGUUUAUAUAGGGGUUUUGGAGGGAAACGGACGCAGCAGCGUCGCGAGGGUCGCGUGUGUUGGGGGGUUUGGUGCUGCAUGCGAGGAAAACGAUACCUCCUGUGGAAGAGCUUUUUUUUGAACCCUGGCGCGCGCUCCNUGUAUUAAUUCCAACUCCACUGCAGAGAAAGGAAUAACGUUUCAGAAGUGGGGGAGAGCGCGGAUUACCUACAACCCCGUGCGUAGGAAUCCCUAGCACACGGAACCGAUCCCGCCGUUCAUUACUCGCGAAUCGAAUCCGUACCUUUGGCAUCGGACGGUGCGGAUUUAGUCUCUUGUUCAUGAACGGUGAGAUAAAGUCGGUGUGUACAAAUUCCUGCGCACCGGGUUGUAGGAAUGCGUGUUCCCAUUCUGAACCUUCCAUUUUUGCGAGCCCGCGCGCGAUUCCCGUUGAGAACCCUCCCCUUGCGAGAAGCGUGAGGGUGAGAUAAGGAAUUGAGAAAUAUUCCCUACACCCGGUGUAUGUGUACGUACGACUCGUAGACCGUGGCGCCGAAUCCUCGUAAUGAUGAGUUUCUAAAUUCAAGCAAGGGACCUUUCUAUGGGCUAUUGGUUUUUUGAAACUACUUGAUGUUUCAAUAAUUAAUAUAUAAGCGACAAAUUGAUUACAUGCAAUUACAACUAUGAUUAUAGUUCAUAAUAAUUAUGUACAAAUUUAAAUUCGGUGUUUAAUUUGAUAUAUUUGAAUUCAACUGUCGCAGUUGGAACUGUAUGAUGAGCGCAAACUGCAGCAGUUAAAAUUAUGUUCGAAUUGGCAAUAAUUUCAACUGUAUCAGUUGGAGAGAGUAACUUUAAUUAGGUAAACUUAUAUUCUUAAUCGCAUUUUAGAUAGAAUAUAUAUAUUUUUCUAUAUAAUUGCAGCAUUUUUUAUUAUAUCCAACCAAAUAAGAUAUAUGCAGUUGUAAUUAAUGUAUAUAAAAUUACAUGCAUCUCCAACUACGCUAUAUUUCUAAUUAUAUUCAGUCAAAUGGUCAUUCAAUUUCUAAAGUUUAUUUAGUUUAUUUAUAUAUAUAUAUUAGGUCACAUCUAUAAAAUUUGAUUAUAAUUUUUUAGAUAUUUACUAUUAAAAUUCAGAUGCUGUAUAUCACAAGUCUUGAAACAACUCGAGUGCGGGCAAUAAUUCACAGGGUGAGAGUGUUUUAAUUCUUGGCUAAAUUAGGCAAAUCUUUUGAGCCCUACUUGGAUGCUUUCAAUUUAAUAAGUGUGAACAAAAUUUAAGCUGUGCAUAAUACUUAGGUCCUUAAAUUUUAAUUUAUUACAUUUUGACUCAAACUUUGACACUGAUGCACAAUAAUGUAGCACAUUAAUUCUUUACUGUUGCAUCGCUGCUCCAUAGGCGACAAAUUAAUAUUUAGUUAAUUAAAUUUACUCCCUAAGAGUUGAUUGCAGUGAUCUACAAAGCACGAAUUAAAAAUUAUAACAAUUUAAUAUGUGAGGACUAAAAUAUUACACACAACUUAGUUUGAGGACCAACAACGCAAUUAACCAAACUUUUUUCAUUAGAAAUAAAAGUUAAAACUAGCUGCUCGAGUUCAAAAAUAUAAAAUAAAUUGUAUGCUUCUAUAAUAUAAAAAUUAAUCUAAAUUUUUUUAUUAUAGCGAUAUUAUUACUUCUUCAAAUAACUCUACUAUAUAUAAAAUACGUGAAGAAAUUAAGUUUUAUCUGCAAGUAGAUAAUGAGAACCUAUUUGGUCUCGUUUUCCAGCAUUUGCUUAUAAUUAAGAAUUUGUCAGUUGACCGACCAUCCCUAGAGAAAGUGACAACGGGUUUGGUGGUUGGUACCCGAGACCCAAGUUCGAAUCCUAGUUGAUUCACAUUUCUUGCUAAGUUUAUUUCUAAAUGAAAUAAAUGAAGCGGGUAGUGUGCUGCCUAUCUCUCUCUAAAAAAAAAGAAUUUGUCAGUUGCUUAAGACUGGUAUAGUAGGCCACAAGUUUACACAAAAGUGGCCUGAUUUUGUCACAAAGGUGAGUAAAAGCAUCAUUUUGCAAAGUUGUCCCAUUGCACAAAACCAUUGUAUGUAUUAAGGCUUAGUUUGAUAAUGUGACGAGUUAAAUUCUGGUCUAUUGGACCACAACUCAUCUCCAUUCUAUAUUUUUUUCAAAAAAAUAAUACAAAUAUAGAGUCUGACUACUAUACUUUUAUGAGUAUAGACGUCUUUAUACUCAUAACUUUUCGGCCGUUAAAUUUACCCUUUGAUCAUUUUCACCCGUUAGAUCAUACUAUUUAACCAACAACUCAUUUAACCCUAGGGAACCACUAUUAUUCUAAUUUGGGACCACUAUCAUCCUAACCGUAAAUUUCUUCACCCAACAGCCAAAAACUUAUGAGUAUAAAAGUGUUUAUACUCAUAAAAGUAUAAUAGCCUUUUGCUCAAUAUUAUAUAUAAUACUAUAUUUUAUUUUUUUUUUUAUUUUGUGUGAUGUGGGGAUUUGAUGGUGUAGUGUAUUUUUUUAUUAUUUUAUGUAUAUUUUUUUUGUUUUUUUUUUAUUUUUUUUUUUUUUUAAAUACUCUGCAUGUAAGCAGCCGAAGGGGGCCGUGAGGAUUUUGAGUUUUAACAUUGGAUCGAGAGAUGUAGAUUGGCAUUGGAUGGUGGUAACAUGUGUUUAGUGGUGGUUAGGUGGUUUUUAUAGUGUUUGAUCAAGGGUGUAUAGUAUUAUAGAAUUAGGAUCAAUGGCUAGAAACUAAAAGCACCAAUGUGAGUGGGUGCUUUAAAAGUAUUUAAUCAAUAUAUAUAUAUAUAUUAUAAUAUUUUUUUUUUUUUUUUUUUAUAUUAUAUAGAUAAAAUAUAAAUAUUGUUAAUUUAGUAAUUAAUUUUUUAAAUUAUAAAUUUUUAAUCAAAAUAUAUAUAUUAUAUUAUAUAUUAUAUAUAUAUAUUAGUAUAUAUAUAUAUAUAUAUAUUAUAUUUUAAAAUUUUAAAUAUUUGUUAUUUUAUAAUUAUUUUUAUAAAUUUUAAAAUUUUUAAUCAAAAUAUCAAUUUAAAUAGAAAUAAUUAUUAUUUAUAUUUUUAGAUUUUAUAUAUAUAUUUAAAAAUUUUAAGGAGCUAGCCCGGAGCACGGCUGGGCCCGGCAAGGCCCGUGGCUUCCGAGCCGAGAGGCCAUGUUUAGUCGGAGGCUAGGGAACUCGGGCCCUGCAGGGCCCAACCCGAAUUUGUUGUUGGGCCGGGCCAGCCCUUAGCCCAUUUUGGCCCAAAUAAUGUGGGCUGUACCGGCUCGGCACAGCCCAUAUUAUGACCCUACUCACAACUAAAAUUUAUUUUCGACUAACUUUUUAUAAGAUAUCUAUGUCAUAAUUAAUGCAAAAUAGUCAAUUGACCUUAUAAUCAAGAAAAGUGACAAAACUAAUAUGCAAUAGUCACUAACAUGCAAUGAGCACUUUCUUUUUACAUGGUCUAAGGGAUUGAAAUGUUUACUCUCAUAUAAACUUUCCUCCAUUAUUAUUUGCAUUCAGCAUGUUGAGUAAAGUUUUAAGUGAAGUAAAAAUUUCGCUACCCUUUAACCUCCAAUAAUAAAAAAUAUUUCAAUUUAAAGGGAUUAUGAUAAAAAAUGUUAAAGAAGGAGAAAUAGAUAAUAUAUAGAAAGACAAUAAAAUUUUUGCCUUUCUAAUAUCAUCUUAUACUUUCUUCCUCCUUAUUUUUUCGCGUUCUUUUUUUUUUUAAUACUUUCUUUUCAUUUUUCUUUCUUUAUUUUUUUCUAUUCUUACUCCUUUCUUUCUCUAUUUUCACUUUUUAUCACCUUACUUUCUCUCUCUUUAUUUUCUCCUACUUUAUUUUUUCUUUAAUCUUGCUCUCCUUUAUCUCCCUUUGUUUUCUUUUUUAUCCAUUUCUCUCUCUCGACUUUCUCUCUUUACUUUCUAUCUCUUUAUUUUUCUCUCCCAACACUUUCCCUAUCGUCCUUGCUUUUUUAUAUUCCUUUAUUUUCUCUCUCUUCUUCCUUUUCUAUCUAUUCACUUUCUCUCUCAUCUCUCUAAUUUUUUUUUUCUAGUUUUCUCUCUUCACUUCUCUCUCCUUUGUUCUCUCAUCUCCCUUUGUAUCUAUUCACUUUCUCUUUAGUCCAUCGUUCAUCUUUUUUUUUUUUUCUCGCGUUCUCUCUUCACUCCUCUCUCCUUCGUUUUCUUUUUUUAUUUUCUCUCUUCUCCUUAUUCACUCUCUUUUCUCUCUCUCUCUCUCUCUCCUUUCUUUCUUUCCUUGUUUUUUUUGUUCACUUCUUUUUUCUUUCUUCUCUCUCUUUUAUUUUCUAUCCUCACUUUUCUUUCUUCACUUUCUCUCUUGUUAUUUUCUCUCUUCCUUACUCUCUCUUCUCUUUCUCUUUUCUUUCUUUAUCGUCAUCUUUACUCUCUUUACUUUCAUUCAUAUAUAGUACAACUAAGUAUCAUUAAAGAAAAAUAUUUUACGGAAGCAAUAUUUACUGAACAAAAUGUUACAUGGGGAAAUAUUUAAUCCCUAACUUUUAAACCCAUAUCAAACUACAUCUUAAACUUAAAACUCUUAUAUUUUAAAAUUGAUUAUGAAAGGGCAAAUUGCAUAAGUGAUUCCUAGAAUUUGAGUGAACCCCAAACUUUUAAAUUUAACACUUGAGGCUCAUACUUUCAAAAUUAUUUUACUUUAGUCCUUAUAUUAGAAGAAAAUUAAUUGCAUGUACCUUGUUUAUUCAUACUUCUAUGCAUCAUAUAUCUAUUGGUCUUUCGUCUAUCUCAUACUUUAAUCUAACUCAAUCCUAAAUAGAGAAAAGAGAGUAUAAGAUAUAUAUUAGAAAUAUAGGCAACAGUUGCAAUUUUAAAAUGAUACUACCACUUUAUGACAAUUAAAUAAGAAGACUAUGAAAUUUUUAGUAAAUAUUCCUUUUUUAGAAACUAACCUGCACAUGAGAGAGAGAGAGAGAGAGUGAGAGAGAGAGAGAGAGAGACUCGAACAUGUUUUUCGUGAAAAUGUGUUGCUUACGCAAACAUGAGUACUUUCCGUGAAUGUGCAUUACUCGUGCAUGCUCAUGCUUUUCGCGAAGUUGUGUUACUCAUGGAACCCCAUAAUAUGCCUUAAUGCUAAGCUAGAUGUUGGAACUUAGGUUAUUGUUAGUUCCUUGAUAUCGAAGAGAGCAAUGUGGCAGCCUUAUCUCCUAUGCCUUCGUAUUCUUCUAAACUGUCCCUAGUCUAUUAUUAUCGUUGCGAAUCAUUGACUCUAACCACUAUUCCAAUAGCCCAAGCUGAAAGAAAUAAGGCAACCAAUUUACUUAAAAUAGAUAGAUACCAUGCUCAUCAACUAAAUUGUCUCUUGGCCCAAACCUAGCUACUUAUACCUGAGGUAGAGAAAAGGGAGGAGCCAAUGGGAGAAGGCAUCAUACUUCAAACAAAGAAGAGAGGAAUCGAUAGAGAAGAAUAAUGAAAAUGAUUUGGUCAUACUUGGAACAAAGAAAAGAUCAGAAAAAGAUACAAAAGAAAGAAAAGAUUUGGGUAUUUCAUAAUGAAUUGGAUGGGUUAAUGCAUUAAAAAGUGAUUAUGAUAUUAAAGACCGAUUGAAAGAAAGCUUUUGAUAUUCACAUCUUCAAAAUAUCAUUUGAUUAGAUUAUGGGUCGCAUGAGUAAUAUUUAGUAAAUAAUUCCAACAUUUACACACGCAAAAAAAAGAACUUAAAUUUAUUAUGAACUUUUUACUAUUUCUAUCUACACAUUGACUUACUUUAAACAUGAGUAAGACACUAAAUUUUAGAGAUUUUAAAGAUUGUAUUUUAAAAAAAAUGAUAACAUCAACAACAGAUAAAAGGAAAAAAGAAAAAUAUGGAGAUUAAAUAGAUACCUGACCCUUGACUUUGAGAAAUAUUAUCGAUUCAUCAUCUACCUUUUUUUUUCUUUCUCUUUUGUAGAACACAACAUUCUUCCUCCUUCUCCUCCCCCCCCUCCCUUCUCUCUCUCUCUCUCUCUCUCUCUCUCUCUCUCUCUCUCUCGCAACUACAACACAAUUUAUAAUAACUUCUAUUUUAAGCUAUUCUUUUAAUUUGAAACGACUGGUGACGUCAUUGUUAAGAAAAGUAAUGGAAGUAGCACGAGAUGAAUGCAUUUUCUACGUUAUAGUCAAGAGAAGUAAUGGGAGUAACACGAGAUUCGUGCAUUUUCUACCUCAUAGUUAAGGAAAGUAAUGAAAGUAAUACGAGAUGAGUGCAUUUUCCACGUCAUAGUCAAGAAAAGUAAUGGAAGUAACGCGAGAUCAGUGCAUUUUCUUUUUUGUCGUUGCUUAAAUUAAAGUCCUCAAUUUCAAAAUAGAUUAUGAAAUAUAAAUUACAUUAGAAGUCCCUAAGACUAUAUUUGGUUCGGGAACAAGGUGGGCAAUAAGCCCUUGCUCCCUCCUUUGUUCCCAAAUACUUUUUUUGGUACCCGAAAACAGUAGUUUUUAAAUUUUUGGAAUAAACUGGUAUAAGGCUGGAACUGCUGUUCCAUUCUCUUCCCUGAAACAAGCUUGUUAAUUUCUAAGUGGGAACAAGAUUAAUUAAAGUCUAAAUUUAAUUUUAAUUAUAGUAUUAAAUCAUUAAUUAAUCUAAUUAAUAUAUUUAAAUUAUUAUUUAUUACUUAAAUAAAUAAAAUAAAUAAAUAAUUAAUUAUAAUUAAUUAUUAAUAAUUUAAUGUAUUUAUCCAUAAAUUAAUAUUUAUAUUGAUCAACCAUUAGAAUUUCUAUUAAUCUAAUUAAUUAAUUUUUACUAGUUAUCUAGCUAAAAUAAUUUACUAACUAAUUAAAAAGUUAAAUUAUUUUUUAUAUUUAAUUAAUUAAUUUGUAUAUUUUCAUUAUCUUCUACAAUAUUCAUAGCUAAUAAAUUUAUUAAUUUAUUAAAUUAUUUUUAAGUAAUAUUUUGAUGUUAAUUAAUUAGAUAAAAUAAUUUUAAUUUAAAAUUAUAACUCUUAUUCCUCUUGUUUCAAUCUAAGCAUCCAAAUACUAUUUACCUUAUUCCUAAUAACAACCGAAUUUCCAUCCAAACGCAAAAUUAGUUCUUACCUAUACCUGAACUUGUAUCUAUCUCUGAAAUAAGUAGUUCUUACUUAUACCCGAACCAAACGUAGCCUCAAAUUUGAACCAAUUUUAAUUCUAGCCUGCAAAUUUUUAAGUUCGACUUUCCUUGAACUUUCAAUAUAUUUCGUUUUGGUAGAAAGUUAUCACUUGUGCCCCAUUUAUUCGCCUUUUUUUACACUAAGAGUUUUGUUGGUUUUUUUUGUCACGCCUCAGAUUGCAUCGAAAUCCGGACUACUCAAUAGAUCCAUCGCAUAUGCAAAAAGCCCCAUAUAUGUAAAGCAAUAAAAGUACCUUUAUACAAUACAAGAGGCUACCACAAAAAAAAACAGAGUUAAAAUAAAAUUACUAACAACUAAAAUAUAAUCCACUGUACAUAUAUAAUUCCAAAAUAAUAAAUCUUCAAAAUAUACAAAAGUAUGUAUGUACAAA